This 254-nucleotide ribosomal RNA is filed under the name uncultured bacterium. Its description in RNAcentral is "partial 16S ribosomal RNA". It matches the Rfam family "Bacterial small subunit ribosomal RNA", at positions 524 to 776 of the family's 1533-position model. The record is from RNAcentral.
UACGGGGGGAGCAAGCGUUGUUCGGAUUUACUGGGCGUAAAGGGCGCGUAGGCGGUCAGCACAAGUCAGUUGUGAAAUCUCCGGGCUUAACUCGGAAAGGUCAACUGAUACUGUGCGACUAGAGUGCAGAAGGGGCAACUGGAAUUCUCGGUGUAGCGGUGAAAUGCGUAGAUAUCGAGAGGAACACCUGCGGCGAAGGCGGGUUGCUGGGCUGACACUGACGCUGAGGCGCGAAAGCCAGGGUAGCGAACGGG